CUAGGUUGCCAAUUGGGCCCUUAUUACAACUUGAACUAAACCUAACUAAAGCCCUUUUAGUUGAUUAACCCAAAACAUAUUUUUUGUCAGCCAACUUUACAAGGAUUGGGCCAUUAUAUAGACAAACUAAACACUCUAAAAUUGAAACAAAGUGAUGUCAUUUAGUCCUCCUCCAUUUGGGCCAUGAUACAACUCACAACCUUG
RNAcentral lists this long non-coding RNA (204 nucleotides) under Glycine max (soybean). RNAcentral describes it as "long non-coding RNA (GMAX_LNC000072)". Lineage: Eukaryota; Viridiplantae; Streptophyta; Magnoliopsida; Fabales; Fabaceae. The record is from RNAcentral.